CACACACUGGCCCAGUCAGCACAUCCACAGCGAUCCCAGGAGCACCGGAACAAUGUGGCAGGGUGUGAGAGGGUGCAACAGCAGGACUAUGAUGGACACGGAGGACCAGUGGACACAGGACUUGGCUAGCAACAACGUGAAGGCCAUCCUGCGCUGGAUAUGUAGCCUUUCAGCUGAAGUGGGAAAUGCUGAUGUGGAGGACAGCCUUGCUACUUUCAGCAGCUGGGUCCAGAGGACGGCUGAAGUUUCAAAGAAGGAGUUACUCACC
This is a long non-coding RNA of Salvelinus sp. IW2-2015, 268 nucleotides long. RefSeq lists it as uncharacterized. The transcript has 3 exons. Lineage: Eukaryota; Metazoa; Chordata; Actinopteri; Salmoniformes; Salmonidae. The record is from RefSeq and is a predicted model, not a curated record.